This is a non-coding RNA of Pelobates cultripes (western spadefoot toad), 141 nucleotides long. Lineage: Eukaryota; Metazoa; Chordata; Amphibia; Anura; Pelobatidae. The record is from the annotation of a GenBank genome assembly.
UUUUUUUUUUUAGUAGCCACUUAGUCAGAAACACUGGUCAAAGUUGGCGUUCAUAAUUGUUUUUUUGCAUUUUUAACACAAACAAAUAUAAAUGCUAACUUUGGCCAGUGUUUGUGACUAAGUGGCUUCUAAAAAGACUGG